This 468-nucleotide ribosomal RNA is filed under the name uncultured bacterium. RNAcentral's name for it is "partial 16S ribosomal RNA". It matches the Rfam family "Bacterial small subunit ribosomal RNA", at positions 28 to 507 of the family's 1533-position model. The record is from RNAcentral.
GACGAACGCUGGCGGCGUGCUUAACACAUGCAAGUCGAACGGAAAGGCCCUGCGUUUGUUGGUUGCUCGAGUGGCGAACGCGGGAGUAACACGUGAGGAACCUGCCCCUGACUUUGGGAUAACUUCACGAAACUGGGGCUAAUAUCGGAUAGGAGCUCCUGCUGCAUGUUGGGCGUUGGAAAGUUUCGGCUGUUGGGGAUGGACUCGCGGCUUAUCAGCUGGUUUGUCGGGUAGUGGCUUACCAAGGGUUUGACGGGUAGCCGGCCUGAGAGGGUGACCAGCCACCUUGGGACUGAGAUACGGACCAGAAUGCUACGGGAGGCAGCAGUGGGGAAUAUUGCAGAAUGGGCGGAAGCCUGAUGCAACAACGCCGCGUGCGGGAUGACGGCCUUCGGGUUGUAAACCGCUUUCGCCUGUGCCGAAGCGUGAGUGACGGUAAUGGGUAAAGAAGCACCGGCUAACUACGUG